CACUGGAAAUUGCUUAAAUUUGCACCACAUGUGUUUUUUAUUGAACAAAUUUCUUUGGUGGCGGGAGCAAUCCUACCGCCAGAGGUUAUAACUAAACCAAACUUUUUAUUUACAGUCAAACUUGAUUUAUUAUUACAAUAGUCAAAACUUUCAACAACGGAUCUCUUGGUUCUCGCAUCGAUGAAGAACGCAGCGAAAUGCGAUACGUAAUAUGAAUUGCAGAUAUUCGUGAAUCAUCGAAUCUUUGAACGCACAUUGCGCCCUUUGGUAUUCCAAAGGGCAUGCCUGUUUGAGCGUCAUUUCUCCCUCAAACCCCCGGGUUUGGUGUUGAGCAAUACGCUAGGUUUGUUUGAAAGAAUUUAACGUGGAAACUUAUUUUAAGCGACUUAGGUUUAUCCAAAAACCUUUAUUUGGCAAGGGCCCACCACAUUUUAUUUCUUACCUUUAACCUCAAAUCAGGAAGAACUACCCGCUAAACUUAACCAAAUCAUUAACCGAAGGAAACC
This 506-nucleotide ribosomal RNA is filed under the name Saccharomycetales sp. LY12. Its description in RNAcentral is "eukaryotic LSU rRNA". The stretch from base 146 to 299 matches the Rfam family "5.8S ribosomal RNA". The record is from RNAcentral. Lineage: Eukaryota; Fungi; Ascomycota; Saccharomycetes; Saccharomycetales.